RNAcentral lists this ribosomal RNA (305 nucleotides) under uncultured bacterium. Its description in RNAcentral is "bacterial SSU rRNA". It matches the Rfam family "Bacterial small subunit ribosomal RNA", at positions 335 to 638 of the family's 1533-position model. The record is from RNAcentral.
CCUCCUACGGGGCGCAGCAGUGAGGAAUAUUGGUCAAUGGUCGGGAGACUGAACCAGCCAAGCCGCGUGAGGGAUGAAGGUACAGAGUAUCGUAAACCUCUUUUGUCAGGGAACAAAGGCGGGGACGUGUCCCCGGAUGAGUGUACCUGAAGAAAAAGCAUCGGCUAACUCCGUGCCAGCAGCCGCGGUAAUACGGAGGAUGCGAGCGUUAUCCGGAUUUAUUGGGUUUAAAGGGUGCGUAGGCGGUCCGUUAAGUCAGCGGGAAAAUUGCGGGGCUCAACCCUGUCUAGCCGUUGAAACUGGCG